This 249-nucleotide ribosomal RNA is filed under the name uncultured bacterium. Its description in RNAcentral is "partial 16S ribosomal RNA". It matches the Rfam family "Bacterial small subunit ribosomal RNA", at positions 57 to 305 of the family's 1533-position model. The record is from RNAcentral.
GCAAGUCGAGGGGUAACGACAUCUUCGGAUGGGCGACGACCGGCGCACGGGUGCGUAACACGUAUGCAACCUACCUUACACAGAGGGAUAGCCCAGAGAAAUUUGGAUUAAUACCUCAUGGUAUUAUUGAUUCGCAUGAAUUAAUAAUUAAAACUCCUGUGGUGUAAGAUGGGCAUGCGUCCCAUUAGCUAGUUGGUAAGGUAACGGCUUACCAAGGCAACGAUGGGUAGGGGUCCUGAGAGGGAGAUC